This 69-nucleotide transfer RNA is filed under the name Marmota monax (woodchuck). RNAcentral describes it as "tRNA.Ala". Lineage: Eukaryota; Metazoa; Chordata; Mammalia; Rodentia; Sciuridae. The record is from RNAcentral.
GGGUUGUGGCUCAGUGGUACAGCACUUGCCUAGCACGUGUGUGGCCCUGGGUUCAAUCCUGAGCACCCA